This is a long non-coding RNA of Alexandromys fortis (reed vole), 5372 nucleotides long. RefSeq lists it as uncharacterized. NCBI's taxonomy places the organism in Eukaryota, Metazoa, Chordata, Mammalia, Rodentia, Cricetidae. The transcript has 2 exons. The record is from RefSeq and is a predicted model, not a curated record.
CCCUUGCAGUUGGAUAGCUCACCCUAAAUCCAGGCCACACCUCCUAGUGGCAGAUCACAUAGGAAGACAUAGAAGGAAGCUAUUGUGUUUUGUCUGUGUGUCCUCACUCUCACUGGCAAGUUCACCAACCCUGCUGCUGAGGCGACCCUUCACUCAUAUUAGAACCUACUUCUUCCUGACUCCAAUACAGGUGGAAGACGACCCAAGAUAUCCAACCCUGUGGACGGAACAACUGGAUUAUUGGCCUGUCUGCUGGGAGACAGCCUGUGGUGGUUUGAAUAAAAAUAACUCCCAUAGGGAGUGGCACUAUAAGGGGGUGUGGCCUUGUUGGAGGAAGUGAGUCACUGAGGGUGGGCUCUGAGGUUUCAAAUGUUCAAGCCAGGCUCAGAGUCACUCUCUUCCUGCUGCCUGAAGAUCCAGAUGUAGAACUCUCGGCUAUCUCUCCGGAACCAUGUGUGCCUGCAUACCAUCAUGUUUCCCACCAUGGUGAUAAUGAACUAAGCCUCUGAAACUGUAAGCCAGCCCCAAUUAAAGGUUUUCCUUUAUAAGAGCUGCCCUGGUCACAGUGUCUCUUCACAGCAAUAGAAACCCUAAGAUGUUGAAGGAGCAGUGAGGCUGCGUCCCCGGCACCCGGCCGCCCACAUGGCUUAUGCCCCGAAAUAAUUACACGGAAACUGUAUUCUUUUAAACACUGCCUGGCCCGGCUAUUUCCAGUUUCUUAUUGGCUAGCUCUUACAUAUUGUUCUAACCCAUUUCUAAUAUUCUGUGUAGUCCAUGAGGUGGCUUACCAGGGAGGAUCUUAACCUGCAUCUGUCUGGCGUGGGAGAAUCAUGGCGACUCCCUCACUCAGCUUCUUUCUCCCAGCAUUCUCUCUGUUUACUCCACCCACCUAUGUUCUAACCAAUAAAAUGGGCCAAGGCAGUUUCUUUAUUAUAAUUAACCAAUGUCCUUCCUCCAUCACUAAGACAGAGCCAUUGCUGAAAUAGCUGGACCCCCACCUCAAGUUGUUCUCUUUUAACAUAUAUGGAUUCAUUCUACUAGUUCUGUUUUUCUAGAGAACGGGUGUUUUGCCUGCAUGUGUACCAGGGUCUCAUUAUACAGCUCAGAAUGACCAGGAAUACACUGUAGCCCAGGCUGCCCCUGAAGUUUUCUGCAAUCAUAUAGCCUCCUGAGAGCCAUCACACCCAGCUCACAAUAUCAAAAUGCAAAAUUAUCAUUUCUCCUGUCAACUGGGCAGACUUUAAAGAAACCACUGACCAUAAAGCCACACUGCAAACAAAUGCAGAAACAUCAAUUACCACCAAAGCAGAGUGUUGGUUUUUUGGUUAUCUUAUUUUUCUCAAAAUCCCAUCAGAGCCAAAGAACAAGGAAGGACUUUGCAAACAGGGAAGAGCGACGGUGAUACAUGGGUCUAAGGUUCUGUCAGGCUAGCGGAGCAAGAAGGAAAAUGAAUUGUAGACCCACAGCCUCAUCUCUUCAGUCAUCAGCCAUGCCAAUGACAAAGAUUUAGAAUGCAUUUUACAGCACCCAUUUCUCUUCAGUGACCUAAGUGCUUUUCCUGUCAGCCACAGACAGUAAUAUUCCGGCCUAAUGAAGUUCAUCUUACUGCGACAGAAACACCCCAGGAAAGCAGACAACCCUCAGAUUCACCUGAGGCAGCACAGGCCCUGACAGUCAGACGAUAUGUUAAAGCCAGAUGUAAGGGACAUCUCUGAUUCUGUGCACAGGGUGUUUGAGGCCUGAAUCUGCCCACAGAGCUGGAUGCAGUGGCAGGCAUCCAGGACAACCGCCAGAGGUUCCUAGGCUGACUGACCUGAGUACAAGUACACAGGGCAACACCAGCAACAGGAGCCCCUGCCUUAAAACGGGGCAAAGGGUAAGAACAUGAAUGCCAUGGUAAGUUCACAUGCAUGUGUGUGCAUGCAUGCAUGUGAGUGCACACACACACACACACACACACACACACAUCCUAAAUACAUAAAUAAAUACAAACACCAAAACCUAAAUGGGGUUGAGCGUGAUAGUAAACAUAUUUAAUCCAAGCACUGGGGAGGCACAGGCAGGCAGUCAGAUCUGUGAGUUCAAGGCCAACCUGGUCUACACAGCAAACCCCAGACGAGACAGAGUUACAUGGUAAGACACUGUCAAAAAAAGAAAGAAUAUAAGUGGGCCAGUGGGAAAUGUUGGAUAUGGGUGGGAUAAGGCAGGAUUUUCUUUUUAUUUAGAAAACAUGGAGGAAAUAUCAAAUUCAGACCCCAGUGCUUAAAAUCAGAAGCCAGGGAGAGAUUGAGGGAUGGGGUGGCCAAGACACCGGGGAAUGUGGAGUGGCUGGUUUCUUGGAGAAAGCAAAGAGAAAGGGUAUUUCCAGAACAGCUGUGAAACUCCAUUGCAGGGCAACUCAUUUCCCAUUUCCUUGGCUGAAAAAGUCCAACCUUCUGUUCUGGACUCAGCCACAAAGCAUAACAGGAAGUUGCAAGACCAAGAGACCAGUCUCUAGUGUCUCCCUCCCCAACAUUAUCCCAUACUUUUCCCAAUUCCUAUAGCCUGAGCAAAGGCCAUCCAUAGCCUUGGUGCCCAGAAAAUUUAAAACACCACACCCAGGUGUUGUGUAAUACCAUGGGGAAGAGGGAUUCUUAACUAUGGACAUAAUGCAUCGCAUUGAAGAAAAUAAAUGAGAACAGGCCUCACUCAAAAAAGAGGAUCGGAUGUGUAGGUCAGGUGACAGAGAGCUUGCUUAGCAUGCAGGAGGCCCUAGACCCUCAGCACUGCAUAAAACUCAGUGUGGCAGUACAUGCCUUUAACUCCAGCAGUAUAGAUUUGGAGCCAGGAGGAUUAUAAAAUCAAAGUUAUCCUUGGCAAGUUCCAGGAUAGCCUAGGAUACAGUGAGGAGCGGGGAAAGGAGGAAAAGUAGGGCACAUUGCAUAUGCACAACGCCUGGACACAGACAGAAACACACGCACACACGCAUCUCUCAAAUGAAAAGAGAAGAAAGGAUAGCAUUAAUUUAACAGACAGCAGAUAAUCCUGUCAUGUUUGAAGCUGCUAAAAAUCAUAAAAUAAAAGGAACAUUUUUUUAAAAGUACAAUCAUGAGGACAAAGUCAAGAUAUCAAUAAAACCUAAGCAUGAAAGAAGGGCAAGUCAUAACACUUUUGCUUGUUCUAGAGAAAAUAAAAGCUAACAUGCCUAUGAAAAAUAUAGCUACAAACAUUAGACAAAUGGAAAUAUGAAAGAGAAUGCAGAAAAAAAGAAGAUUGAAAAGAAGAUAAAUCAGGCAUCUCCACACACAAAGCCAAAGCUAGAUGCAGUAGCCCACUUGUAAUCCCAACAUUCCUAUGGUUAGAUGGGAAGUGGAGACAGGAUGCCCAGAGGCCAGUUAGCCAGGGGUACACUGGGCAGCAGAGACAAGACAAUAUUCCUUCAAUUAGACAGAAGGCAAGAACUGACCCCAGGAAUGGUUCUCUGACCUCUGCAAAAUGCGCUGGCAUAUACACAUGCAUGCACACUCACUACAAAUAUGGAAACCUUCAACCAUUAGCAAACUAAAUCCAUAGCAACGUAUAUCCAUUCUAAGAUAGCUCAUUAUCAGGAAAUCAACUGACAGGUGGGCAUGGUGGCACAUGCUUUUAAUCCCAGCACCCAGAAGGCAAAGACAGGUGGAUCUUUAUGAGUUUGAGUCCACCCUCGUCUAUAUAGAGAAUUAUAGGCCAGCCAGGGCUACAUAAUGAGACUCUGUAUCAAAAGAAAAAACAGUCAAUUAACUAAUGCAGGAAAAAUUAGCCAUUAACUAAGGCAGAAAGAAUAAGUAAUAUAACAAUAUUCAUAGAUGCUAAAUGGUGCAUUUUAUAACUAUUCCAUUCACUUCCUGAUAUUUUUAAAAUCAGGGGCUGGAGUAAUGGCUCGGUGGUUGAGAGCACUUGCUGCUCUUCCAGAUGAUUGGGGUUCAAUUCCAGCACCCACAUGGCAGCUCACAACAGUCUGUAACCCCAGUUACUGGGGCUCCAACACUCUCUUCUACCCUCCACUGAUACUAGGCACACACUUCGUGCACUUACAUGCAUGCAGGAAAACACCCACACACAUAAAGUAAUUCUUUAAUUAAAAAAUGAGUGAAAAAAGUUUUCGACUUAAUAAGAAACCAGUAGCAAACAAAGCAUUAGUACUCAAUGCAUGCCCCUUUGAUAAGGAGUUGGUGGUGGUGUUUGGGGAGACUUAGGAGGUGUGGCCUUGCUGAGAGAAGCAAGGCACUGGGAGCAGGACUCAUUUUCAUUGGCUCUCUCUACUUCCCGUUUGCAGUUUGCAGAUGGGAGCUCUCAGCUUGCUGUUCCCGCUGCCACUGUUGCCGGCUGCCAUGCUCCUCACCCCAUCAUGAUGGCAAUGGUUUCCUUACCUCUCUGGAACCUGACACCCAUGUCAACCCUCCUUUUCAUCUGUGAGUCACCUGGCCAUGGUGUUUGUCACAGCAAGAGAAAAGAAACUAAGACAAGGUAUUCAGAAUUGGUGAGAAUUUACCUGGCUGCUAGGUAAAAAUUUAAAAACAAGCCUCCUCCAAUAACAAUAAGAACACUGGUGAGGUUUGAGACCUUCGUCUUUAAUAUCGGGGCAUAAAAAAUGAAAGGGAACCUGAGAAGAGGCCUGUCCAAUGGGAAUUUGGCUGUAAGUACAUAGCCAAUAAUAAACAGUGGAUAAAUAUUUAAUGAAGAAAUUAAUGGAAUCUGAACUUCCCGAGGAAGUCUGGGUUCUCUCUUCUACUUCCUUUGGGAGGACAGACUGUUUUCUUGCCAGCUAACAUAAGCCUUUCUUCAAGGUAUGCAGGUGUUUGGCCUAUAUGCACGUCUGUGUACCAUAUAUGUGUCUGAUACUUGAGGAGACCAGAAGCAAACACUGGAUCCCCUGGGACUCCAGUUACAGACAGCUGUAAGCUUCCGUGUCCUCUGGAAGAACAGCCAGUGCUUUUCCUGCUGAGCAUCUCUCCAGCCCCAGUUCUCUAUUGUUUUCAUCAUGCACGUUUGGAUGGUUAAGGUAUUCCAUCUACUAUAAGAUGCAUUGAUAUCUACUAUCAAAAGUCAUCAAAAGCAGGCACAAAGCUGAUACGGUGGCUCAUAAUUCUAAUCCUAGAACUGAAAGGCUGAGGCAGAAGGAUCACCUUAAAUUCAAGGCCAGCCUGAGCCACAAAGUGAGAUGCUAUAUCAAAAACAAAAGGCAAAAAGUAUUUUUAGUCAUAUAAGAUAUGUUCACCUAGGGCCUGCAAGAUGGCUCAGUGGGUAAAUGGCACUGGCUGCCCAGUCUGGCAACAACAGAAAAGAACAAAUUCCCACAAGGACCUUCACCUACACACAUACACACACACACACACACACACACACACACACAC